AGAGAACAAGAAUCCCACUGAUACAUGAUGGACUACAAAUCUGGGUUACUAUUUUCUAUUAUCUACUUUACAGGCAUUUAUUGUCAGACUCUGACAGAAUCUGAGUCAGUGGCUAAAAGACCAGGAGAAUCCCACAAACUGACCUGUACAGCCUCUGGUUUCACAUUCAGCAGCUAUGAGAUGAACUGGGUCAGACAGGCUCCUGGAAAAGGACCAGAGUGGAUCGCUUAUAUCAAUAGUGGUGGUGGUGGUACCAAGUACUACUCACAGUCAGUCCAGGGCAGGUUUACCAUCUCCAGAGACAAUGGAAGAGAGCAGCUGUAUCUGCAGAUGAACAGCCUGAGAUCAGAGGAUUCUGCUGUUUAUUAUUGCGCUCGAGAGGCACAGUGACUGAAUCUGUUUCAGCAGCUCUACAAAAACCUCAAUCCCCCUCAGAGUUAUCUAGUGGCAUAUUUUAUUUUCUCUGUCAGACUUGUCUGUAAAACUAACAGUGACACAGUUAUUUAUUUCAUGUUUUUAAUUUUAAAAUAAAUAAUUUCAAAAUAAAGUUUCAAUACGAAAGUUAUGAUUUUUGCAUAAAGUGCAAAACAUUUAACAUAAUGAAUAGA
Molecule: non-coding RNA, 608 nt
Organism: Xiphophorus hellerii (green swordtail)
Lineage: Eukaryota; Metazoa; Chordata; Actinopteri; Cyprinodontiformes; Poeciliidae
Source: the annotation of a RefSeq genome assembly